Molecule: long non-coding RNA, 8496 nt
Organism: Ornithodoros turicata
Lineage: Eukaryota; Metazoa; Arthropoda; Arachnida; Ixodida; Argasidae
Exons: 3
Source: RefSeq, a predicted model, not a curated record
GCCGCCCUCGCUGCGAGAAACGAACAUAUCCGUCCGUGCUCCCGAAACUUUAGAAAUUCCGACAUUAAGCGAUUUAUGGAGGGGACGACUGCGUGCUGCAGCUGUGCUUUCCACCUCCUGCGUGCCUACAAAACUGGAAUGCUGGAGGACUUCAGCUCAAGGUUUUGUUUUGUAGUCAUACUAAAUAAAAAGAAAAAAAAAGAACUUCCGAAGUGAGUAAAUUAUUCCGCUUUAAUCCGUUUGUGUAAUAUGAUCGACGCAUAUGAUAUGUCAAUUUGUUUGAAAUUGUGAGUGAAUGAAAGCUAUCCUGAUCUUUCAUUCAGAAUGUCAUGUUGGACCAAUACCAGAGCGUGCUUAAAGAAAUCAAUGCCCACCACCAGAUCUCCGCCUCAGAGCCAGUGGUGAUGGUCAAGAUAUUUCUAGCGGAUCUGGUCAUGUCAUGCUGAAAACUAAUCCACCCCGCACUUCGGCUACAACACUAUGAACCUAUCGCGCUGUGAUGUUUGCUUGAAAGGAACACAAUCUGGUAUGGUGUGUUGUUUUUCUUCUAGAAGGACAUCGGGUAUCCAUAAUAAGAGGCCCUCAUAGCAAGAAAGCCAAUAUAUAAGAAAAGGCAUCUUCUUGAUACAUUAAUAUUUCUCAAAGUAUCCUAAAGACAAAGGUACGAGUCACACUACAUGUGCCAUACUGCACUCUCAGAAAAAAGGGUGUAGCAAUUACACACCUUUUAGGAGGUAAUAGUUGUCGCAUAUGUUGUGCCUAAAAGGUUGCGAAGUUUUACCUGCUACCUACGAAUGAUAGAGCUACCGCUUCUGAUUCGGUGAGCGAGGGGGGCGUACGCCGAGCAUUAGGAAGCGGUAUCGCGCAUCAUAACGAUAAGCGGUGUAUUGAUAAUGAUAGAGGGCAUUGAGUAGCAGGGUUAAAACGUGGCACGGUUCUACGAUAUGUGCGUUGGGGACAACUCAUAGAGCAUAAACUUGCUUUGUGUUCCUUUCACGUACCCUGUUACGUGAUCAAAAUCAUCAAAUCCCUUCCUAAAGAAGCCUAUAAAUGUAGGCUUCUUUUGUCGUAGCGGAUAUUGAUAUCGUUUUUGUAUAUCAAGACUAUUCUGAAGCGUCUUGAAUCGCCCAUUGUGACAGCAACCAUAUAGACAGGUCAAGAACUAAAAAGUAUAUAUAUUGAGUAGCAAAUACAUUGAAGGUAACUUGUUACAUUUCUGAAGUAGCUUAGGAACUUCACGUCAAUUUUCAUUGCGUUCGUGUAACUGGGUUUGAAAUUUAGUUACGGGCCGGUUUCACGUCAGUUCAGGCAGGGGGUCCCAGCGACCCGCUAGGUUUUCAGUAUUUUUUAUAUUUAUAAGCUCAUUGUGCAUUAUGAUCAACAGCGGUAAAAUGAAUCAUUUUUGCCGAGUGGCUUUCGUGCAAAAAAAAAAUCGGGAAAAACCGGCUCUGAAUUCGGGUGUUUCAGUUUUGCCGUGUUUGUACGCUAUAUCUCCCGGGUGUUAAAAGAUAUUGCGUUGAUGCUUUAUUAUGCCUACAGGCCAGCUGUCAGAGAGCAAAUAUUAGCGCGCAGGUGCAACGCUGUGUGCAAAAAAAAAUGGCAAGCAUGCGCUCUCGCGCAUAUGGCUAUAGAUGUCCCUGAUUGCCAUACUUGGUAUCAGCUCACUCAGCUUUUAAUUCUCUUUCAUCUGAUACUUCCUGAUCUGAUAGUUCCUAGCGGCAUGUGCUGAAAUACGCAAAUGUUUAGGCGUAUUUCGAAAAAACAUGAAUUUUGCACGUGUAUCUCUCAAAAAGAUCCCACUUGAUUUCGUAAAUAUUUUGCCAGGAUAUGGCCCGAUGUUAGGCGUUUCAUCUAACGCAAAAAAUUAUUGUCCAAAGGCGUAUACUCUCUUAAUUUUUUUACACCCUUUAGGGUGUAAUAAGGGUGUAAUCCCAAAGUGCGAUACCUCACUCCCUUUAGGGUGUAAUAUCACACCCUUUUCCACCGGCUACAACCUGAAAAAAGGGUGUAAUUUGCUACUUCAAAAACACCCUUUAGGGUGUAAUCCAAAAGGGCUUUAACUCACUCCCUUUAGGGUGUAAUCCAAAAGUGCUAUAACUCACUCCCUUUAGGGUGUAAUUUAACACCCCUGGUAAUAUUACACCCUUCAAAAAGGUGUUGUUUAUCUGUCAAGUAAUACAUGUGCUACUUGAGAGAUAGAUGCUAUAGUUCUCACAAAUGCCAGCAGCCAGAAACUGUGAAUCUAUGCACAUGUACGCAGUCCAAUAAAUGAGGAGUUGAAUUACUCAUACAUAAUUCAGGGGAGUGCCUCUCUGCUAAUUACUGUGGACACAAGAAAUUUCCACGAGCAUCAAAUGCACAGCCACUGCAGCAUUUGGGAAAUGCACCUGAAAAGAAAAGUCCAGACGUAGGUUAAGUAUACAGAUUCUUUAUUUUAUAGUGCUCGAGGUCCAAUUGCUACCGCAGUUACAAUCAUUUGUAUUGCUAAUGAGGCCAAACCAGACAAACACCACAUAUCAAUACAAGAACAGUAAUUACCACCGAAGCUAUAUAUGGCAUGAAACUCUUGCUUGCCAGGAUACAAAGCAUCUGCUUUGUGCAUUGCAUAACAAAGCUCGGUCUCCCUUAGUUCUGGGGUCUUAAAAGAAACAUUCAACAAGAAUGAUGUAAAGUCCUGCUGGGCAACACUGCUUUAAAACUCUUGACGCCAGUAUAUCAAAGUGUGCCAAAGCUUAAUGUGCCCUCAAGGAGCAGCGAAAGAGCGAGCAAUGAGCAGCGGCUUUUUCGCUUCACAGGUUUUCUUGAAUGCUCUGAAAAAAAGUCAUAUUGAGCUCGACAUGUACUGCUGGCGACAUACUGUCUGUCAUUUGGGUUUCAUGGUUUCGCUGCUUUCUGCGGCAUGCUGCAGGUAGUGAGUAAUAAACAGGCACAGCAGAUUUUUCCCGACCUGCCUGCUGCUUACUACUUGCAACGACCCUUCACAGAGGCUGCAGAAUGCUGUGAAAGCCCGAAACCCAAACUUCAGACGUGUACGUCUCAAAUAGGACACAAUGUACACUCUAAACCCAUUGAGAGAUAGGUGCCGCCUGAUCAACUGGCACAUUUCUGCACGAGAUGACUUCAAGAGGAAGCCUGCGAAAGCUGUAAGUGCCUUGUGCCCCCUGAAACAACUGGUACGACAUCGCUGCUGACGCCAGGAGCCACAGUGUACCGGACGUAAUGAAGGAAUACUUGUACCAACUAAUACGCGAGACACAUUAUGCCUCUCGAGUUCUCUAACAGAAAAUGAUCUCCAGGCUUCGCAAAAAAACAAAAAAAAAGAAGAAAAAAAUAGGGGAACAACGCACCAAUGAGAUUGAACUUGAAACGCCAAAUUUUAUUGCAGUGCACAUACCUUUAAAUUUCAUCAAGUACAUCAUCGUUGGCCGAAUGGAAAGCAUACACGGUUCACUAAUCCCAACACACACAUAUGGAGCACACGCUGCAUGAACACAACCCCUCCGAUGCACCAGGCGCGCACUGCAAAGUUCAACCAAGAUCAUCCUUAGUGACGAACACGACAGUUCCUCAAACGAAAUGGCCGACGAAUAAUUGUCCAAGCAUGUGGCACCAGACGCCUCUUCGAUGUGAGAAGCAGUUGCAGUUCUGCACGCAUAUGCGUGACCGUUGAGACAGGACACUAUCUGUAAAGAAACCGAAGUGAACAUCACGCUGGUAUUGUUCAAACGUUAAUGCUAGAAUAUUACAGCUUUUUUGUAACUCACGUCCUUGCAGUCGAUACAGUCCCACGUUCACCUAUAACGAAAGAAUACAAUUAGCCUCGCUUGUAAUAUAAAUCGUCGCUUCACGGAUGUAGCCGAUCCACUCCUGCCACCAUUUGCAAUGUGUCCAUCGUCUGCACCAGAACGAUUGUUAAACACAAGUAAAACGCAGGCGUCGUACGUUGCAUCACAGCCAGGUUGACUUACCUUAAGCAAACAUUAAACUUGUAAUUAAAAAGCAAGAUUGUCGUCCUUUCACAGGCGAGGUUGCAGCGCACAUAACAGGCACGAACGCAGCGACGAAUGCACUGCGGUAGAAUACGCGGUGCCACGUCACUCCUCACGGGCGGAGCGCAGAACAACGUAGUACGCUCCAGCGCAGGCACACAUAUUCAGCCGGCACACGGAUUAUUCGACAAGCACACGAGUAUACGGCUCAGGGGACACACAUAUUAUUCAGCGGGGCACACAUAUUUGUCGAUAGGGAUCGUUGAGCUUGCUAUUUGAUAGCUGUUACGGCUGCUUCCAGACGGUUACGGCUGUGUACCGGCUGUACUUUCUGAGGGACCUUUUUUAACCGGCACAUGUUCGUCACAAGAUUUAGAGUGUAGACUCAAAAUUUCUACUAAGGUGUCCUAUUGUAUGCAUCUGUAGGUAACAUGAAGCAUAUCAUUGUGCUUUCAAAAGAAAUACAGUUUAUGUAAAAGCUCUAUGCCCGCUACACCCAUUUUACGCCUCUUUUACACCCGCCCAGGGAGCACAUGGUGGGCUAGUAAACGUCUAAAUGACGUCUAAAAAAAGAGAUAAGGAAUGUCUAUAGAAUGUCUAGGCAAUUAGACCAAAUGUCUAGUAUCCGUCCACUAGACCUCAAAUAACACGUCUAACGUUACGCCACCUAGCCAUCUAGCCCUAGACAUCCGAUGUCUAUGUACCUAGCUGUGAUUUAGACAUUCUUUUGACCUGGAUGUCUGGAACAGGGUCAGACACUUAACCAUGUAUUAGACAUGAAGUCUACAGCUAGACCAAUUUUAUCCCUCCAUUCAGGCGACAGGUCUAGGGUUAUACAUUUCCUGUACCUUACUUUAGCCACCUUUAGACCAUGACUAGUCCUGCUACCGUCUUGGCAUGCAUUCAUGCAGAAAUGGGAUAUAAUUGAUAGCAACACGGAUCUCAGCAUAAACAUUUAUUUGCAGUAAACCACACACGAAGUCUACGGUACAAAACUCUGUCUAAAACUGGAUUGACUUUGCCGCCAAGCAGGCGUCUUGUGUUUUGACUGAGGAGUGUUGAACUGGCAGCAGGGUGUUGAUGGCCACCUCAUUCCUUUCUUCCAAUGAGUGAUGGUUGGCGCUGCAGCACUGCCUCCAAUGACUCACUGUGGCUAGAAAAUAGAACAAAACAUGUCAGAAAGCAUCAUGUAGCCUGCUAGUUCUAACUAGUUUGUUUAGUGGCUAUGCACACUCCUUCACGGGAUGCUUGUCUGGCCACAUAAGAGUAAAAGCUGUAUCAACACUGAUCUGAGAGACACAAAGAAAAGAAGCUGCACGUACAAAAAUCACAGAACUGUUACAGCUACACAACACAAAUUGCAGAAACAGCUGAAAAUCUGUUUGCGCGUCACUACCUGAUGUGGACGCUAGAGCCCUGCACCAUCUGCGGAUGGAAGCGGAUAUCCGUAAGAUACUUGCGGAUUCGGACAAGAAUUUAUCACUUUCUGCAGUGUGCGGAUCGGAUGGCUCGAGGUCAGAUGCGGAUAUACCGCAUGCUGUAAUUUCUCUACUAGCAAUUUAUUUGUAUUGCGCACCGACAGCGAGCGCAUGCCCGGGUUCACCUUUGACCAUGCACGGCCAAGACAGGAGAGAAGGCAUUUUGGCGCGAGUCCUUCCAUGAGAGCAUGGAGGCAUCCGAAAUUAUACCAACAUUCUUCCGGCUAUGUUUACGCGUCCUUCGAAACUUGCGGAUCUAAACGGUUGCGUAUGCAACGGUGCGGAUCGGAUAAUGUGCACGCAGAUGCUAAAAAUCUUAUCUGCGCAGGGCUCUAGCGGACGCUGCCAGGAUCUCAGGGAAAUGAGGAUGUAACAGCUGUCGCUGUUAAAGUACAUCAAUGUGACAGGCGUUUUCUCGUGACACACAACCUUACCUGGUCGAGCAGGCGACUGCUAAGCACUCUAUGAUUGGCGCAGCACUUCCAUCACUGCAUUACGCUAAAACAACAUCUGUGCUGCUCUCAUAACUUUGGUGCAAAAAUUCUGUACAGGAUAAAAAUAAACACUGUGUAUAUUAUAAAAGACAAUACAAAGCAAAACCUGUAUCACCACGUCAAAUAUUAUAAGUACGUACAAGUAGUAUACAAGUUUAUUCACAUGACGUCAUCCGCAGGAGACCGCCACUGUCGCUAGCAGGCAGAUUUGCCGCCAUCGGCCUUGGUAGAUCUCGGCCCUAUUGUAGAUUUCAGUCAAGCUGUUACCCAUAUUAUACUCACCGCAUAUCUGGUGUUUAAAACUUGUUGCUCUGUGAUUUGUAGAAUAUCCAAGCAAUUUCCAUAUUUUUUGGUGUUAAUAGUCACCUAAAAAGCAUAAUGCAGCGAACAAAUGCAAGGACUAAACAUUGAGGGACCUAUAGUAUGGCGCUAAGGUGACUUCAGUGAAUAAACCUUUUAGGAACUCAAAUCUUGCACUACUACCAGAUAGCUGUUUGGGUGAAGUAAGACGGAAUGACAUAGUCACGCUGUUCUCCAUACAAUACCAAGGAUGUCUCAAAACGACAAAGCACAAAAAUACUAGUUUUGUACCGUUUGAUGAAUAUUUUGUCUGCUACUCACACAUGUUGUGCGGUUCUUUAGGAAGCUUCUGGCAGUCGUUUCUUCUACAUCGCACUUCCCUGCUGACUUUCACAGCAUCUGAAAAAAAGUUCGAAACCAUGUGAAUGGAAAGCAGUUAGAGUCUUCCACCAACUGUAUUUGCAAAAAAUUUAAAGAGACUCCCUCCAGAGUAAGAUUCGGGGGCACAUCGAACAUCAGGAACAUUGGAGGACAACACAGUCACACGUCAGAGACAACUGCUUCCCCUCACCUCACAGGGAACUGUUAAGCUUAUGUGCAAAUAGCUGUUUCGUAGGGUAGGUUACCACUAUUUUCAUAUCCACCGAUGCAAGAUAGUCCAAGCACCUAUAAAGAGAAAAAUUCAGUUGCUAUGAAACCAUGAUAUGCAAACAAAAGUACUUGCGCAAAAUUUUCAGUGUGUAGUUUCACUACCAGCGAAAAAUGCAACAACCGAAGUCGGGUUGACAUGACAAUGAACUAACCAGCAUUUAUGUUCCGGCAUGUCCGCCCUGCAAACCGUAACUGUCGACUUUCGUUUACUCAAGACUUCAACAGUCAUCGAAAACUCGUGAAUCUCGAUGAUUAAUUAGUGAUACCGUAUUUGUUUUAGCACCAAGACGAACCAAGGCACUUAAUGAAACGUUGUACUGCCGAACAUACAACGUUAAUCACGACUUCGAAUGCAAGUGCAGUCAGGUCAACCCACACUUCCAAUAUGCUUCAAUCGGUGAUACGAAGCCGAAAUAGAGGAAACGAUAUUCCGAUAUUAUGCCACGCAUAUCUACUACAUGCGAUUUGGUGUACAGAAACAGGCACAUACUUUAAUGAAGAGUGAACUCACCCCUUAAACUUGAAAGCCAGAGAACAAAGAAACGUUGUCCACCACAGUACUCUGCGAGCUCUGGUGCGCUCAACAGCUUUUAUCACUGGACAGCACGGCGUACGUCCUCGCUAUGCUCAAAAAUUGCAAGACAAAACGCGCGGGAGAUUAGAACUUCGAAAGAUUUUCGUAUAACAACCAGUGGAAUGCAGCCGCGAAGACCCCAACUGCUACCCGUUGCGCGUCCGGAAAGUUUGAAGUUUCAACCGUUGAAACUGAACUGGUUCGAACUGGUUGGAUGGAUGGAUGAUGGAUGGUGAUUGGGUAGACGGGCAGACGUCAUUGCCAUUGCUUUAGCUCGUGCUUUUUGAGUACUUAUUUUUUGUAAUACUUUAAUUUCCGUGGCCGUUCAUUAUAAUUGGCUGGUGGAGGUUAAAAGUUAAAUAACACAUAUGCCAAUCCAGCGGAAGUGACACCAACAUCAUCAUCAUCAUGCCAUCGCCAUCGUUGUUGCAGCGACGAGUGUCGUAUUUUGUGAUGUGUGUGUUGAAAAUCGCUGUUCUUUUUGCAAACAUUUUAUCAGUGCCUUUGCUACUGAGCUACAGGUGUGCCUAAUAUGUAGCGCAUUGCCUGUUCAGCGGUUUCAAAGAGAUACCAUGGGCAGUUUCAAGAUUUUUUGAAGUGUCCUGAAAUCCCUGAGUCACGUCAGAUUCCAUUUUACUGCUGCUGUGUAGCUUGUGGGAAAAUGUUAUGUGCAGUAAACAAACAUCUGCUAUCUGCUGCCCACAGUACGUGCAAAGUGCUUCUGUGUUUGUGGAGCUAUGGUUUAUAGUGCUUCGCUGCACGAUUCGUCGGAGUCGUCGACUUUUUUAUUGACGUUUCAGUGAUUCAAUAAUUUAGUUGCUGAUUUCUUUAAGUUGGUGUAACGUAGUAUUGUGCAGGGGACUCACUAACGUACAAAAUUUACAUUUACCAGCAACGGUAACGCCAUCAGGAACGCUAGUUCAAGAGACAUUGCCCCGAACAAAUGCGGGCUUUCGUUAAGAAAAAAAGAUAUACAUUCAGAAAAAUAAAAUAUUACUUCACAGCACUUA